This 1352-nucleotide long non-coding RNA is filed under the name Homo sapiens (human). Its description in RNAcentral is "non-protein coding LINC01184:41". The record is from RNAcentral. Lineage: Eukaryota; Metazoa; Chordata; Mammalia; Primates; Hominidae.
GUACCCGAGGCCGGGCCGGAGCCGCAGGCCAGCCGCGAUUCCUUCGGGCGAUGCUGGGGGCUUUCCGGUCGGGGCCGCAGCCGCUUCCGGAGCCGCGGGCGAGGUGCGUUCCCCAGCCUGGUUUGCUCUGGGCUCUGACCCGCCGCCGCGAAUCUCCGCUCGUAACUCCGGGCCUGAACCUGGAGGAGGGAGGAUUUCCUCUGUGCAGCUUUCGAGCGGUAGACUCACCCUGCCAGGCAGACCUAGAUUGGCAUAACCAGAGAUCAGUUCCAGUUGUGAUGCAGUGGGUGUCUACACACUUCUGAUGACACCUUUAUUUUAAAAGCUGAUGUUCCAAGGUGCAAGCGGUCUUCUCUGUCUUCUUUAUGGCCAGUAAAAUUCUCCAGAAGAGAUUUAUGGCAGCCUCACUCCCAGUAGUUUCUGCAUUUAGUGAGAUAAGAUGGAAUCUUGCUCUCUUGCUCAGACUGGAGUGCAGUGGCAUGACCUUGGCUCACUGCAACCUCACCUCUCGGGUUCAAGCGAUUCUGCCUCAGCCUCUCGAGUAGCUGGGACUACAGGUGGGAGACCUCCACAGAACCCUUCCAGCAAGCUGUCUUCUAAAGCAAACAAGAAAAGGAAAGUCUGAGCAGUUUUGAUUAGAUUUCCCAGAAGUCAAAGCAAGGAAAAAUGAAAAAGCUUCAUUUCUCACGUUCUUAAAAGAGAGCACAGAUGUUGCAUCAUCUGGUUAGAUACCCUGAGAAUAAAAUCUGGAUCCAGUGAGAGGAAAGAUUCUGGGUGCUCAUGAAAAAAGAAACAAAACAAAACUUGGGAGCCUCUUGAGAGUGUACAGCAUCAGCCCUUGCCAACUCUUGUUUAUAUGCAUUUAACUUUCAGUUAACCAUGGGAAUAAUUCAUGAAAAUCCAAUCUACAAACAAAGGCCAUCCUAACGUUCAUGUUAUUCUUUUCCCUAAGAAUCUUUCACAAGAGCUAUAAUCAAGUAGAAUUAUGCUUUGAUUUGAAUUCUAAUUCAAUUGAAAAUAAAAAAUGAGGGCCGGACGCGGUGGCUCAUGCCUGUAAUCCCAGCGCUUUGGGAGGCUGAGGUGGACGGAUCACGAGGUCAGGAGAUCGAGACCAUCCUGGCUAACACGGUGAAACCCGAUCCCUACUAAAAAUACAAAAAAUUAGCCGGGCGUGGUGGCAGGCGCCUGUAGUCCCAGCUACUCGGGAGGCUGAGGCAGGAGAAUGGCGUGAACCCAGGAGGCAGAGGUUGCAGUGAGCCGAGAUCAUGCUACUGCACUCCAGCCUGGGCGACAGAGCGAGACUCUGUGUAUAAAUAAAUAAAUAAAUAAAUAAAUAACGAAAAGGUUGCCAU